RNAcentral lists this ribosomal RNA (492 nucleotides) under uncultured bacterium. Its description in RNAcentral is "partial 16S ribosomal RNA". It matches the Rfam family "Bacterial small subunit ribosomal RNA", at positions 29 to 507 of the family's 1533-position model. The record is from RNAcentral.
AGUGAACGCUGGCGGUAGGCCUAACACAUGCAAGUCGAACGGCAGCACAGUAAGAGCUUGCUCUUACGGGUGGCGAGUGGCGGACGGGUGAGGAAUACAUCGGAAUCUACUUUUUCGUGGGGGAUAACGUAGGGAAACUUACGCUAAUACCGCAUACGACCUACGGGUGAAAGCAGGGGAUCUUCGGACCUUGCGCGAUUGAAUGAGCCGAUGUCGGAUUAGCUAGUUGGCGGGGUAAAGGCCCACCAAGGCGACGAUCCGUAGCUGGUCUGAGAGGAUGAUCAGCCACACUGGAACUGAGACACGGACCAGACUCCUACGGGAGGCAGCAGUGGGGAAUAUUGGACAAUGGGCGCAAGCCUGAUCCAGCCAUACCGCGUGGGUGAAGAAGGCCUUCGGGUUGUAAAGCCCUUUUGUUGGGAAAGAAAAGCAGCAGGUUAAUACCCCGCUGUUCUGACGGUACCCAAAGAAUAAGCAUCGGCUAACUUCGUG